CAAAGAACUUUGAAGAGAGAGUUCAAAAGUACGUGAAACCGCUCGGAGGCAAACGGGUGGGCCCUCGAAGGUCGAACGGGGGGAUUCAACCCGUCUGCAGGCAUAGUUGCUCUUCAUGGAUGGCGGGACGUUGGACUGCCAUGAUUAUUGGAGCAGUUCCUGAGAAGUAUAUCUUUGCAGCGACAGCGGGCGGGUGCAUUUCCCCCUUAGUAGGACGCCGCGACCGGUCGGGUAUGCGGCCAUGCAGCGGGGCGAUGGGACAGAUCCGUUGCCGGUCUCUUUCUCUCGUUUCUCUGACGGGUGAAAAGCCGGUCGGAAUUACAGCCCGUCUCCGCUUCGGCUGCUGCCCGACCGAGGAACUGCGUGCCCGCGCCUUCGGCUGUGAGGCGCGCGGAAUGUUCUGGCAGGCAUCGCCGACGAAAUCAGAACACUUCUGGUGGUCGUCGGCAUUUUUUGCUCGGGGUGCUGUUGGUUGGGCGUUGCUGCUCGCGUAGUGGCGCUCGUGGUGGGCGGCGAGUAGGUCGGUUACCCACCCGACCCGUCUUGAAACACGGACCAAGGAGUCUAACAUGUGCGCGAGUCGCAGGGUGCUCGCGAAAAACCCGAAGGCGCAAUGAAAGUAAAAGUCGGUUAGC
This 635-nucleotide ribosomal RNA is filed under the name Scolopendra calcarata. RNAcentral describes it as "eukaryotic LSU rRNA". It matches the Rfam family "Eukaryotic large subunit ribosomal RNA", at positions 367 to 740 of the family's 3401-position model. The record is from RNAcentral. Lineage: Eukaryota; Metazoa; Arthropoda; Chilopoda; Scolopendromorpha; Scolopendridae.